Long non-coding RNA from Cyprinus carpio (common carp), 614 nucleotides. RefSeq lists it as uncharacterized. The record is from RefSeq and is a predicted model, not a curated record. The transcript has 3 exons. Lineage: Eukaryota; Metazoa; Chordata; Actinopteri; Cypriniformes; Cyprinidae.
UUAAUUAAUGGGGGCUUGUUUAUUCAACUUAUGGCAGGCAGGAGAAACCGGUUUGAAAGCAAUCAUUGUUUUAGAGACACUGAUGACACUUAAAAAAAUUUUUAACAAACAUAAAGUGAAGGAAAUUGAGAAGAUAUUUCAAUAAAAGUAUCAUAGCGUAUUUAGCAUAUAUUUUAAAGAGCACAAUAUUGCUUUUCAGGUCGAUUUGCUGUCUACCUGUUGAGGUUUAUUUUGAAAGUUCCUCCCAGUCUUUGUUUUCCUGUUACAGUGAAAGGAAGGUGCUCUGCAUUCAGCCAAAGAGACGAGAAGUGUACGUGCAUUUUAAAGAGACAAAGAGAGUGAAAAUGUGGGUCUAACAUUCGGGGACAGAUCGUGUCUUACAUUCUGGGGGAAAGUGCAGAAAUAUUUGUCUCCAUGACAGCAAAGGUCAAGGCAGGACAGAGAAGAGUUUGAACUGGAUGAUUCCAACUAGGGAGAGGAACAGGUGAGAAGAGACCAGCUACAUGCUGAUGAGAGUUAUCAGAACCAUUGAAACGAGUAAUAAGAACCCUGUCGACAUGACAAACUGACCACAAAUCCCCCAAACCAUUUUCAUAUGACAGGCCUUAUGCAAG